Molecule: long non-coding RNA, 815 nt
Filed under: Cyanistes caeruleus (blue tit)
Lineage: Eukaryota; Metazoa; Chordata; Aves; Passeriformes; Paridae
Description: lncRNA (ENSCCEG00000000449.1)
Source: RNAcentral
CCCAAGAACAGCCCCAAGAACAGCCCCAAGAACAGCCCCAAGGAACAGCCCCAAGGAACAGCCCCAAAGGAACAGCCCCAGGGAACAGCCCCAAGGAACAGCCCAAAGGAACAGCCCCAAGGAACAGCCCAUCUCCGUGCUGAGGCUCCCCGAGCCAGCAUCACCUCCCCGUGGAACCUCCCCCCUGAGCCCGCGGUGAGCAGGGAACAGCCGGCUCUGGGAUCCAGGGAUCCUCCCUCAGGCUGGGGCAGCUCUGCAGGGAGCUGCAGCACGGCCACACAGCUCACACAGACACACAGACACACAGAGACAGGUGUUAAACACACACACACACCUCUGCAGGGAGCUGCAGCACACAGCCACACAGCUCACAGAUCACACACACACACACACAGACAGGUGUUAAACACACCCAUACACACACCCACACACCUCUGCAGGGAGCUGCAGCACGGCCACACAGCUCACAGAUCACACACACACACACCGACAGGUGUUAAACACACACACCCACACACACACACCUCUGCAGGGAGCUGCAGCACAGUCACACAGCUCACAGAUCACACAGACACACAGACAGACACAGACAGGUGUUAAACACACCCACACACACACACACAGUCACACACUCACACGGGUGUCACACACACACACACAGACACACACACACAGACACACUCACUCACUCACUCACUCACACACAGUCACACACUCACACACACACACAGCCACACACCCUUCUAGCACGCCCCACCUCUCCCAAAGCCUCUCUCCUCCCCGGGGUUUAUGCUGGAAUUCCCGAGACUGCCAGG